RNAcentral lists this non-coding RNA (189 nucleotides) under Stegodyphus mimosarum. RNAcentral's name for it is "eukaryotic small subunit ribosomal RNA". It matches the Rfam family "Eukaryotic small subunit ribosomal RNA", at positions 1229 to 1655 of the family's 1831-position model. Lineage: Eukaryota; Metazoa; Arthropoda; Arachnida; Araneae; Eresidae. The record is from Rfam by way of RNAcentral.
CAGACAUAUUGUGGAAGUUUUCAGUAUCAACCUCACCUUGAAGGAACCAGUGUGUGCUUUCCAUGUCCAACAGGACUGGGUAACCUCUUGAAUCUCCUUCAUGCUGAGGAUAGGGCCUUGUAAAUGUUCCCCUUGAAUGAGGAAUUCCCGGUAAGCAUGAGUCAUAAGCUCAUGUUGAUUACGUCCCUG